UACUGGCAUUGGUGAUCAGCUGAUCUCACAGCAAGCUGGUUCAGAAGGCUAAACCAGAAGAAAGGCAUCUCAAAUGGCUCUAGACCACCUUGUGUGGAUAUCUGAAUGGAAGCCAGUAUUCCAGUCAGGACCUGGAUGGGAUGAUUGUAUCACAUGUUGUUUGGCUGAAGGAACCUAAAGGAAGAAAGAACUACCACGAGCUGUCCAGUCCUUCUUGUCUCUGAUAGUAACCAAGACCUGAUGUUUAGAAAAGUGCAGGAUGUAUAACUCUUAAAUACUGGAUUUGUUUUGAUAAUAAUGCCAAAUUCGUUCAGACGGAGGUGAGGGCAAGGAGGUGCUUUUGUGAUGCAUUUUCUUCAGGAGUGACAAGCUCAAGCAAUUGCGGAGGUCAUAGAGCUGGACGAGAUCUCAUGGGUCAUCACAUCCAGUUUGCAGUAAGCAGCUAACUCACAUGGUCUCAUUCCUCACAUCCCACAGGGAUCCUUGUUGCUGUCUUCAGAGAGGCUAUCAUAGUUAAUGGCCUGCAGCAGCUGCCUAAUUCCCAUGGAUCUACCAUGAUAAAUAAAGUAGUAUCCUUCUCCAUCAGAGGCAAAGACUUGUUCCCAUACUCACCCAUCUUCUGAGCUUCUAAAGUGGGCUGCCUCUUUCCCUGUUGUCCUGAUUACUCAUUGGGGAUCAAUGAAGUCUUUUCCCUGAUUUCCAUUUG
Molecule: long non-coding RNA, 706 nt
Organism: Dromaius novaehollandiae (emu)
Lineage: Eukaryota; Metazoa; Chordata; Aves; Casuariiformes; Dromaiidae
Exons: 4
Source: RefSeq, a predicted model, not a curated record